This 301-nucleotide ribosomal RNA is filed under the name uncultured bacterium. RNAcentral's name for it is "partial 16S ribosomal RNA". It matches the Rfam family "Bacterial small subunit ribosomal RNA", at positions 509 to 807 of the family's 1533-position model. The record is from RNAcentral.
CAGCAGCCACGGUAAUACGGAGGGGGCUAGCGUUGUUCGGAAUUACUGGGCGUAAAGCGCACGUAGGCGGCUUGGUAAGUUAGAGGUGAAAGCCCGGAGCUCAACUCCGGAAUUGCCUUUAAGACUGCCGAGCUAGUAGGUGAGAGAGGUAAGUAGAAUUCCGAGUGUAGAGGUGAAAUUCGUAGAUAUUCGGAAGAACACCAGUGGCGAAGGCGGCUUACUGGCUCAUUCUAGACGCUGAGGUGCGAAAGCGUGGGGAGCAAACAGGAUUAGAUACCCCGGUAGUCCCUGUCUCUUAUAC